AUACCAUAAGAACACUCAAAGAGCCCUAUGGAGAGAAUCUAUCUCAUGGCAAGGAAAUGUGGAUUCCUGCCAACAGCCACUGAAGAACUGAGGCCUUCCAGCAAAUAACCACUGAGUGAGCCAAAUUGGGAGUGAAUCUUCCAGCACCAAUGAAUCCUCAAAAUGACUACAGCCCCAGCUGACAUCUUGAAUGCCACCUCAUAACAGAUCCUGACCUGGAGCCAUCCUGCCAAGCUGCUCCCAGAUUCCUGACCCUCAGAAACCAUAUUAUGGGCUAAUUGUCACCUGCUACACGUGGAAGGAAGAGAUGUUCAGCAUGGCACUGAUCAAUGUGUAUAUUAACUGGGAAGUUUACCUCCAGGAGAAAAGAGAAAACCAGCUGUGUGAAUGGAAUUUGGAGAAAGGUAUUUGGAUUGUAAUUAGAUGCAUGACAUUGGAAGCCUCUUGAUAUAAAUUUGAAGACUCUCCGUGUAUACAGGCAUUUCUCUGCAGACUGGCACAUGACUUCUU
Molecule: long non-coding RNA, 510 nt
Organism: Zalophus californianus (California sea lion)
Lineage: Eukaryota; Metazoa; Chordata; Mammalia; Carnivora; Otariidae
Exons: 3
Source: RefSeq, a predicted model, not a curated record